GAUGAACGCUGGCGGCGUGCCUAAUACAUGCAAGUCGAGCGAACGGACGAGAAGCUUGCUUUUCUGAUGUUAGCGGCGGACGGGUGAGUAACACGUGGAUAACCUACCUAUAAGACUGGGAUAACUUCGGGAAACCGGAGCUAAUACCGGAUAAUGUUUUGAACCGCAUGGUUCAAAAGUGAAAGACGGUCUUGCUGUCACUUAUAGAUGGAUCCGCGCUGCAUUAGCUAGUUGGUAAGGUACGGCUUACCAAGGCAACGAUGCAUAGCCGACCUGAGAGGGUGAUCGGCCACACUGGAACUGAGACACGGUCCAGACUCCUACGGGAGGCAGCAGUAGGGAAUCUUCCGCAAUGGGCGAAAGCCUGACGGAGCAACGCCGCGUGAGUGAUGAAGGUCUUCGGAUCGUAAAACUCUGUUAUUAGGGAAGAACAUAUGUGUAAGUAACUGUGCACAUCUUGACGGUACCUAAUCAGAAAGCCACGGCUAACUACGUG
Molecule: ribosomal RNA, 496 nt
Filed under: uncultured bacterium
Lineage: Bacteria
Description: partial 16S ribosomal RNA
Rfam family: Bacterial small subunit ribosomal RNA
Source: RNAcentral